Long non-coding RNA from Neocloeon triangulifer, 1291 nucleotides. RefSeq lists it as uncharacterized. Lineage: Eukaryota; Metazoa; Arthropoda; Insecta; Ephemeroptera; Baetidae. The transcript has 3 exons. The record is from RefSeq and is a predicted model, not a curated record.
GAUUGGUCCGAGAAAGGGGGCGUGGUAGUCCCAUGUCUUCUCUAUCCCUAAUCUCUCCCCCAAAACAACAACAACAACAAAAUCCCUAGGUUUAGCUUUUUUCACAAAUUAUUAUUACAAGCUCAUCUAGUAUUCCUACCACAUUAAUAUUUUUUGGCCAAGAAUUGUACAUAGCCAUGGCUACAAAUCGGAAGUUCAAAGAAGCUGUUAAAAGCAUGAGCAUGCAAGACAUGUUAGUGCAAUUCCUGUUCAGCAUGUGACUGAUCCUGUGCCUGCUCCUAGUUAAGGCUAACGUGACCAUCUCCGCCAUGACUCAGGCAGAAGCCAACAGUGAUUACCAGAUUAAUAUUGAUGUGCUUUCUCGAGAGAUCAUAGAUGGCAAUUGAUGUGCCAUAUUUGAGGUUUUAAGAUAUUUUCUGCUCCAGUUGCAGAGCAAGUGACCGGUUGUAAAGCUCUCGCGUCUCCGUGCCCAUCAUUUGUGACAGGCUGAGACGGCGUGCCCAUUUGAAAGAGGUUUGUGACAAAGGUGCCCAUAGUUCUUGAUAGGGGUUGUCCGUAAUUCGUGACACAACCAUUUUGGACCUUGCUUUAACUUAAAAUUCCACCUUAGCUCUGAUCGGACCGUUGUCAAAAUUAAUUGUUAGGCCCUUAGGGAAUCUUGGGUGACCUGGUCUCUGAAAAAUUAAAUUUUUUAUGAGCUUGUGAUUAAUUUAAAGUUGAUAAACUUACAAGGAGCUCUUUCUCGCCAGAAUAAAUGAUCCCAGUCACUUCUAAUUUGGCAUUGAGUUUCACCUCCACAUCAAAAUUGAGUUUCAGUCGAAUUUCCGUUAAGCACUUCGGCAGUUCUGAUAUGCAGUGCUCUGGGCAGUCGUCCUUCUAUAGAAGUAAUUCAUUAAAAUUAAAAAAGUAUAAAAAAAUGAUUUUUUUCUUUACGUUCGUUUUUUUAUCAGCUUUCUUCUGCUCCUUUGAUUGAGCAAAAGUGAUAAUGGGCGAUCAAAAAGUUUAUAUCUUAGGCUAUGCCCGAAUUCGUGACACAACCAUAAGAGACCGCUUGCUUUAAAAACUGGCUGAUUGAGUAAAGAUCUCCUUGUAAAUAUUUGGUUCAAUAAUAUAACCAUGUAAGUUGUAAUCUUGUGACAUCUAUAUUAUUACUGCAUUUAAAGAAUAAUAUUAUUUUAUGUGCAUGUAAUACAUGUUAUCCCACUCCUCCUGUAUUUCCCUUCAAACCACAGAAGGCGACACCUCGGUGCCGCACAAUAAAUAAAUCAGUUUGUGUUUGACCUGCAAAGCA